GUGGCAGACGGGUGAGUAACAUGUAGGUAUCUUCCCUUUGGUGAGGAAUAACACGAGGAAACUUGUGCUAAUACCUCAUAAGUCUUUACGGAGAAAGCUUUAUGCGCCGAAGGAUGAGCCUGCACUUGAUUAGUUUGUUGGUGGGGUAAUGGCCUACCAAGACUUUGAUCUAUAGCUGAUCUGAGAGGAUGAUCAGCCACAUUGGGACUGAGACACGGCCCAAACUCCUACGGGAGGCAGCAGUAGGGAAUAUUGCACAAUGGAGGAAACUCUGAUGCAGCGAUGCCGCGUGAGUGAAGAAGGCCUUUGGGUUGUAAAGCUCUUUCGUCGGGGAAGAAAAUGACUGUACCCGAAUAAGAAGGUCCGGCUAACUUCGUGCCAGCAGCCGCGGUAGUACGAAGGGACCUAGCGUAGUUCGGAAUUACUGGGCUUAAAGAGUUCGUAGGUGGUUAAAAAAGUUGGUAGUGAAAUCCCAGAGCUUAACUCUGGAACUGCUAUCAAAACUUUUUAGCUAGAGUAUGAUAGAGGAAAGCAGAAUUUCUAGUGUAGAGGUGAAAUUCGUAGAUAUUAGAAAGAAUACCAAUUGCGAAGGCAGCUUUCUGGAUCAUUACUGACACUGAGGAACGAAAGCAUGGGUAGCGAAGAGGAUU
RNAcentral lists this ribosomal RNA (650 nucleotides) under uncultured marine bacterium. RNAcentral describes it as "bacterial SSU rRNA". It matches the Rfam family "Bacterial small subunit ribosomal RNA", at positions 95 to 779 of the family's 1533-position model. The record is from RNAcentral.